RNAcentral lists this ribosomal RNA (468 nucleotides) under uncultured bacterium. Its description in RNAcentral is "partial 16S ribosomal RNA". It matches the Rfam family "Bacterial small subunit ribosomal RNA", at positions 28 to 507 of the family's 1533-position model. The record is from RNAcentral.
GACGAACGCUGGCGGCGUGCUUAACACAUGCAAGUCGAACGGAAAGGCCCUGCUUUUGUGGGGUGCUCGAGUGGCGAACGGGUGAGUAACACGUGAGUAACCUGCCCUUGACUUUGGGAUAACUUCAGGAAACUGGGGCUAAUACCGGGUAGGAGCUCCUGCUGCAUGGUGGGGGUUGGAAAGUUUCGGCGGUUGGGGAUGGACUCGCGGCUUAUCAGCUUGUUGGUGGGGUAGUGGCUUACCAAGGCUUUGACGGGUAGCCGGCCUGAGAGGGUGACCGGCCACAUUGGGACUGAGAUACGGCCCAGACUCCUACGGGAGGCAGCAGUGGGGAAUAUUGCACAAUGGGCGGAAGCCUGAUGCAGCAACGCCGCGUGCGGGAUGACGGCCUUCGGGUUGUAAACCGCUUUCGCCUGUGACGAAGCGUGAGUGACGGUAAUGGGCAAAGAAGCACCGGCUAACUACGUG